GGUGCAGCAGAGGUCAGAAGGGAGGCAAACUGUACUCAUAAUCCACGGUUUGAGGCGAGGUGGUUGGAAGAGGAAGGAUGCAAGGAGCUGGUGAAGAUGGCGUGGGAGAAGGAGACGGCACCCGAAGGUAAAAAGGUAGCAGGGGCAGUUAAAGGAGUUAUGAGGGAGUUGGUUGACUGGAGCAAAAAUGUUUUGGGCGACUUGGAGAAACGCAUAGAUCGGCUAAAAAAGGAUCUGGAAAAGGAGAGAAGGAAGGAUAUUAGUCCAAAACAAGUGAGGCGUGAGCAGAUGCUGCGGUUCAAAUUAAGCCGCUUGGAGGACCAGCUGGAAACAUACUGGAAGCAAAGGGCCCAUGUGAAUUGGAUGCAGGGAGGCGACCGCAACACGAAAUUUUUCCACGAUGCCGCCUCUGAAAGGAGAAGGAGCAAUAGAAUUAAGAGA
This 441-nucleotide ribosomal RNA is filed under the name Triticum aestivum (bread wheat). Its description in RNAcentral is "partial small subunit ribosomal RNA". Lineage: Eukaryota; Viridiplantae; Streptophyta; Magnoliopsida; Poales; Poaceae. The record is from RNAcentral.